Chanos chanos (milkfish) is the source of this 166-nucleotide small nuclear RNA. RefSeq annotates it as U1 spliceosomal RNA. The record is from RefSeq and is a predicted model, not a curated record. NCBI's taxonomy places the organism in Eukaryota, Metazoa, Chordata, Actinopteri, Gonorynchiformes, Chanidae. The transcript has a single exon.
AUACUUACCUGGCAGGGGAGAUACCAUGAUCACGAAGGUGGUUCACCCAGGGAGAGGCUUAGCCAUUGGGCAGCCGUGGUCUAAAGGUUAGAGAACCAGGCUUGUGACUGGAGGGUUGCUGGUUUGAUUCCAACAUCCGUGGCUGUGUGCCCUUGAGCAAGGCACU